This 254-nucleotide ribosomal RNA is filed under the name uncultured bacterium. RNAcentral describes it as "partial 16S ribosomal RNA". It matches the Rfam family "Bacterial small subunit ribosomal RNA", at positions 524 to 776 of the family's 1533-position model. The record is from RNAcentral.
UACGGAGGGUGCAAGCGUUGUCCGGAUUUAUUGGGCGUAAAGAAUGCGUAGAUGGUGGAAUAAGUUAUUGGUCGAGGUCAAGCUCAACUUGGCGGAAGCUGGUAAUACUGUUCUACUUGAGGGCAGGAGAGGUUGGCGGAAUUCUGUGUGGAGCGGUGAAAUGCGUUGAUCUACAGAGGAACACCAAAAAGGGCGAAGGCAGCCAACUAUUCUGAUCCUGACAUUGAGGCAUGAAAGCGUGGGGAGCAAACCGG